ACGCCUAAUACAUGCAAGUCGAACGAAGUAGCAAUACUUAGUGGCAGACGGGUGAGUAACAUGUAGGUAUCUUCCCUUUGGUGAGGAAUAACACGAGGAAACUUGUGCUAAUACCUCAUAAGUCUUUACGGAGAAAGCUUUAUGCGCCAUUGGAUGAGCCUGCACUUGAUUAGUUUGUUGGUGGGGUAAUGGCCUACCAAGACAAUGAUCAAUAGCUGAUUUGAGAGGAUGAUCAGCCACAUUGGGACUGAGACACGGCCCAAACUCCUACGGGAGGCAGCAGUAGGGAAUCUUGCACAAUGGGGGAAACCCUGAUGCAGCGAUGCCGCGUGAGUGAAGAAGGCCUUUGGGUUGUAAAGCUCUUUCGUCGGGGAAGAAAAUGACUGUACCCGAAUAAGAAGGUCCGGCUAACUUCGUGCCAGCAGCCGCGGUAAUACGAAGGGACCUAGCGUAGUUCGGAAUUACUGGGCUUAAAGAGUUCGUAGGUGGUUAAAAAAGUUGGUGGUGAAAUCCCAGAGCUUAACUCUGGAACUGCCAUCAAAACUUUUUAGCUAGAGUAUGAUAGAGGAAAGCAGAAUUUCUAGUGUAGAGGUGAAAUUCGUAGAUAUUAGAAAGAAUACCAAUUGCGAAGGCAGCUUUCUGGAUCAUUACUGACACUGAGGAACGAAAGCAUGGGUAGCGAAGAGGAUUAGAUACCCUCGUAGUCCAUGCCGUAAACGAUGUGUGUUAGACGUUGGAAAUUUAUUUUCAGUGUCGCAGCGAAAGCAAUAAACACACCGCCUGGGGAGUACGACCGCA
Molecule: ribosomal RNA, 798 nt
Filed under: uncultured Pelagibacteraceae bacterium
Lineage: Bacteria; Pseudomonadati; Pseudomonadota; Alphaproteobacteria; Candidatus Pelagibacterales; Candidatus Pelagibacteraceae
Description: bacterial SSU rRNA
Rfam family: Bacterial small subunit ribosomal RNA
Source: RNAcentral